AAAUAGAAAUGAAUUGUUUUGAUUUAUUAGUGCUACAUCUUGAAUGGAUUCACUAUGGUUGUAGCUUUUGCUAAGACGAUGUACAUUAUGUGUGUGUUACCAUGUGUUGGAAUAAUUGUACAUAAAUUAUCUCACAUUUACCGUAUUUUCACAACCAUAGGGCGCACUGGGUUAUAGGGCGCUAUCUCAGUUAUGGGUGAUUUUUCAGUAUUUGAUACAUACAAAAGGCGCACCGGGUAUUAAGGAACGGGCACGUCAAAACAUACCGGUAAAACAUGCACGCUAAUGUUGAACCUUUCUGUGAUGACAAUCUCUCUGCGGGGGAGACCUUCUCCAGGGCCAAAGUCGGAUCUUCCUUCGGGGUUCACGUCCCAGUUCGGACCAUCAGAGCCUCCAGAUAGGGUUAAUAAAAGAUCCCGUCUCCGUUCUUUUAGAGAAAAUGAAGAAAGCAGUGGCACGUUAGCCCAAGCUUUUACAAUCCAUUCACAAAGUGUGGCAGUCUAUGCCUCCAGUGCUGCUUCCCACUACAAUAAAAGCCAAUGUUUCUGCCCGGUUGUAGGUAUCGCUACAGUGCUGGUCCAAUUCUUUUCGACAUUAUGAUUCACUGGGAUGUCGGAAGACAGGGGCUCCCCGUCCAUGUUGGUGGCCUGUGCUGGAGGAGUUUGUCUGCACUCUUUUUACUGUUUAUGAGCGGUAGAUGAACAGCUUUUAAUUGUAAUCCGCUGGAAGUUGCUACAGUAUUGUAAUCCUUGCCUGAUUGGAAAGAUGACAGUGUUUCAUAAAACGAAAGUAAAACACUUCCUGUAAGUAUUACUGCUCUUAGUCGAAUGCGGUGAUGGCAGAGAAGCUUCUCCAAGCUGAUAACUGAUCGUUAAUCCAUCGGCGUCGCCUUUUUUCCACGGGAAUUCAGCUGCGUUUUCUUGACUUGUCGGAGUUUGUUUUCCAGCUUCCUCCACUUGUAAACCGUGGAUUCAUUCCUCAUGAAUUCUCUGCAGUUGCCCUCAUUUUCCUCCUGGUAGCUGAUAGCUGCAGUUUAAGCUGUGCGUCAGCCAUGUUGUAAACAAGUAUGAUGACCUGGGGGUCAACCCCGCCUAUAGCCACUAAGACUCAUGAAACUUGUGUUUGUGGAAUCCCUCACCAUAAGUGAGAGAGCUAUAAAGAGAAGUGAGGUGCAUGUUGUUACGCUGUUUGAGUGUGUUGAAAAUAAAUAGGCUUUGAUGUCGGAAAGGACAUUGAUCAAUCUCAAUGCAGUGCAGUGCGGUUGUUACACAGUGCUGUUCAAGCUCACACUUCCUUUCCCCGUUCUCACGCUGUCCUCUGCUACGCCCCACAACUACACAUUAGGCGCACCACCUCAUUGGGAAACCCCAAAAGUUUGGAGAAAAUGUAAGACAUUUAAGUGCACCUUAUGGUUGUGAAAAUACGGUGCUCUGAACCUUUGAACGUGUGAUCAUAUAUGGCAAAGUGUGAGUGUGUAUACCGCUUUUCUGCAAAACUGGUUCUCAGGAAAACAGGGGAUGACCCAGCACAGCUGUCUCGCCUUGACCCGGUGACAGCUGUUCACCUUUCAUCUGUAGGAGAUGUGCGCUAAGAGGUCAACAACAACAAGGUGAUAUCCCAUAGGAGCAGUUGUGUUUUAAAGAUGGUGUUUAGAUUAGCUUCUUGACCUGUGUGGGCUGCUUUGCGUUGUUUUUACUUCCCCCACCCCUUAGAAGCAGACCUAAGACAUUUGGAUUUAGUGAAACGCCUAGUUAUUAAUAAAAAUGAGGAGGGAGACCUUUGUAAACUCAGAGCAAGCUGGAAAAUUGCGUUUUCUGUCUGCUCUCUCUCAAGAAAAGAUACAAACUUCAUCCUGCAGAAGCAUCAGCAGAAGAGAAGCAUCAGCCAUGAAGGGACUGAGGACAGACGGACAUCCAGCCAGAAUCCAAGCAGCACCUUCAUCCUGAUGGAGCUACGCCCUCUGACCUUCAUCAGUCAGUAGAUUCUUUAAUAAAAACAUUUGGAUCCAAUAU
Molecule: non-coding RNA, 2012 nt
Organism: Oryzias latipes (Japanese medaka)
Lineage: Eukaryota; Metazoa; Chordata; Actinopteri; Beloniformes; Adrianichthyidae
Source: RefSeq, a predicted model, not a curated record